GUGCUGUAGGAAAGGAGAGAAGAUUUGCAUGCCCCUCAAUAAGGAUGUAAGGGGCCCUAGCAGCCUUGCAGCACACAAAAAACAUGGGUCAGCCCCAUAGUGUAGUAGUUAGCGUAACACUAUUAC
Hypanus sabinus (Atlantic stingray) is the source of this 126-nucleotide small nuclear RNA. The record is from RefSeq and is a predicted model, not a curated record. Lineage: Eukaryota; Metazoa; Chordata; Chondrichthyes; Myliobatiformes; Dasyatidae.